Molecule: ribosomal RNA, 253 nt
Filed under: uncultured bacterium
Lineage: Bacteria
Description: partial 16S ribosomal RNA
Rfam family: Bacterial small subunit ribosomal RNA
Source: RNAcentral
GACGUAGGGUGCAAGCGUUGUCCGGAUUUAUUGGGCGUAAAGAGCUCGUAGGCGGCUUGUUGCGUCGACUGUGAAAACCCGCGGCUUAACCGCGGGCUUGCAGUUGAUACGGGCAGGCUAGAGUUCGGUAGGGGAGACUGGAAUUCCUGGUGUAGCGGUGAAAUGCGUAGAUAUCAGGAGGAACACCGGUGGUGCAGACGGCUCUCUGGACCGUAACUGACGCUGAGACACGAAAGCGUGGGUAGCAAACAGG